Molecule: ribosomal RNA, 375 nt
Filed under: uncultured bacterium
Lineage: Bacteria
Description: bacterial SSU rRNA
Rfam family: Bacterial small subunit ribosomal RNA
Source: RNAcentral
UACGUAGAGUGCAAGCGUUGUCCGGAAUCAUUGGGCGUAAAGGGUACGCAGGCGGAUAGGUAAGUCAAGUGUGAAAGUUCAUGGCUCAACCAUGAGAUUGCGUUUGAAACUGUCUAUCUUGAGUACAGCAGAGGGGAUCGGAAUUCCUGGUGGAGCGGUGAAAUGCGUAGAUAUCAGGAAGAACACCAGUGGCGAAGGCGGAUCUCUGGGCUGUAUCUGACGCUGAGGUACGAAAGCCAGGGCAGCGAACGGGAUUAGAUACCCCGGUAGUCCUGGCAGUAAACGCUGGACACCAGGUGUUGGUGGUUCGAAUCCAUCAGUGCCGCAGUUAACGCAUUAAGUGUCCCGCCUGGGGACUACGGUCGCAAGACUGAA